UACGAAGGGAGCUAGCGUUGUUCGGAAUCACUGGGCGUAAAGCGCACGUAGGCGGAUGUGUCAGUCAGGGGUGAAAUCCCGGAGCUCAACUUCGGAACUGCCUUUGAUACAGCACGUCUUGAGUCCGAUAGAGGUGGGUGGAAUUCCUAGUGUAGAGGUGAAAUUCGUAGAUAUUAGGAGGAACACCGAUGGCGAAGGCAGCACUCUGGGCCGGCACUGACGCUGAGGAGCGAAAGCUAGGGGAGCAAACAGG
This 253-nucleotide ribosomal RNA is filed under the name uncultured bacterium. Its description in RNAcentral is "partial 16S ribosomal RNA". It matches the Rfam family "Bacterial small subunit ribosomal RNA", at positions 524 to 776 of the family's 1533-position model. The record is from RNAcentral.